Molecule: long non-coding RNA, 581 nt
Organism: Cyprinus carpio carpio
Lineage: Eukaryota; Metazoa; Chordata; Actinopteri; Cypriniformes; Cyprinidae
Source: Ensembl
UGAAAGCAGUGCAAAGUACUGUGGUAUAUGAACUGUAUAGCCAAAUUUUGGUUGACAUAUUUAUUUAAUUAAAAUAGUUGGUUGUCUUUCAGUUCUUUUCAGUUUUAGUAAACUUGAGUGCUUAAUUACGGUCAUCCACUGACACAACAAACCAAAGCACCUGUGCUGGAUGAGAACAAAACAGUCAUGUGAUUAAUUGUGCCCUGAAAUAGGCUUCUUAGUAGAGAUGAGAAAAAGACAGACUUGAAAACGAUGGGAGACUUGGUACAGAACCUUUGAGUUCAGAUGCCGGCUGAGACGAUGGGCGAUGGGUCUCAUGACUCAUGGCUGGACAACUGAAAGAGGGAAACUGUGAAAUGACUUCAAGAUCCAAAGAAGAGAGCUCUGGAGAACCAUGUGCCGUUUCCGUGAAAUUCCUCUUGGAAUCCCUCUUCAGUCAUGCACUCUAAGUGAGGUAAUGGAUUAAGUUGCUGUCAAUGAAGAAAACCUUUCCAAAAGUUUCCAAUCCUGACGAGGCUGGUCUGUUGUCUGGUUUUAAAAUAAUUUUGGACAUUUUAUGUUUUUAGCAGAUAUAUACACAC